This 556-nucleotide long non-coding RNA is filed under the name Mus musculus (house mouse). RNAcentral describes it as "Hoxa adjacent long noncoding RNA 1 (Halr1)". The record is from RNAcentral. Lineage: Eukaryota; Metazoa; Chordata; Mammalia; Rodentia; Muridae.
GGGAGACCGUGGGCGGAGGUGAUACAACCUGACUGAUGAUGGCUGACAAAAGAAGAAGAAAGUAGCUGAGAACCAGCAGCUGAAGAAAGCAAGAAAAUAUGAGUGAAGUCACAAAUGUCACCAAGGAAAGGAAGAACAGAAAAAUAACUUGAAUAUUCAAGAUGGGCAGCCUAGUUCAACGACACAUCAAGCCUUGUGAAAAGGUGACUCCGAGGAGUUUACCUUCGGGCAGCUCAUACACCAGCUGACAAUCUGUCCUCACCCCGAGACGGCAAGCCAAGCUCAGGUGUGUUACGGCUCCACCAGAAAAAGAUUAUUUGCCUUCUUUCCCUCGGUGAACAGCUGAAGCCAAAACGCAGCCCCUGGCACUCCAGCUGUACUCCGUCACAAGGCAGGGCCAGGAAGGUUCUAAUUCUUGCUUCCCAGAUCACACACUUUACAACUGAAGAGCGUCUCGGUUUUGCUCUUGAUCCUACUUUAACCUUUGCCAGCUCCUAGUCCUUUACUAAAGCAUUGAAAACUGUAAAAAGCCUCCUCAGUUCAAAUGCCCAUAAGC